This 254-nucleotide ribosomal RNA is filed under the name uncultured bacterium. RNAcentral describes it as "partial 16S ribosomal RNA". It matches the Rfam family "Bacterial small subunit ribosomal RNA", at positions 524 to 776 of the family's 1533-position model. The record is from RNAcentral.
UACGUAGGGUCCAAGCGUUGUCCGGAUUUAUUGGGAGUAAAGAGUUCGUAGGCGGCUAAGUAAGUAGGAUGUGAAAACUCGGGGCUCAACCCCGAGACGCCAUCCGAUACUGCUGUGGCUUGAGUCUGGUAGGGGAACACGGAAUUCCUGGUGUAGCGGUGAAAUGCGCAGAUAUCAGGAGGAACACCGAUGGCGAAGGCAGCUCGCUGGGACGUAACUGACGCUGAGACGCGAAAGCGUGGGGAGCAAACAGG